UUUAUUAAAAAUUAAUACUUGAUUAAUCUCUCUCCAAAAUUCUAAUACUCCUAUCUAUGAUAUAAUA
This 67-nucleotide transfer RNA is filed under the name Wasmannia auropunctata (little fire ant). Its description in RNAcentral is "tRNA-Leu". Lineage: Eukaryota; Metazoa; Arthropoda; Insecta; Hymenoptera; Formicidae. The record is from RNAcentral.